This 65-nucleotide transfer RNA is filed under the name Dypsocus coleoptratus. RNAcentral describes it as "tRNA-Trp". The record is from RNAcentral. Lineage: Eukaryota; Metazoa; Arthropoda; Insecta; Psocodea; Caeciliusidae.
AAGGUUUUAAGUUAAAAUAAACUCUUAACCUUCAAAGUUAAAUAUAAAUUAAAAUUUAAACCUUA